Cinara cedri is the source of this 395-nucleotide non-coding RNA. Lineage: Eukaryota; Metazoa; Arthropoda; Insecta; Hemiptera; Aphididae. The record is from the annotation of a GenBank genome assembly.
UAACACGGACAAAGCCAUGCGGGACAUGCUUCACAACAGCAAGCGGAGUAAAGCAGAGUAGGAAAUGAGGACCAAAAUGAGAUAAAAUAUCAACGGGAAGCUCCCUAAUAGGCACCCGUUAAUUGAACAAGUGGUUCCCGGAAAGAUCGAAAAGUUUCGUGAUGGGAUUCUCCCAGUAGACAAUAAUUCGGACUAAAAAAAUAAGUAUUCACACACAAAAAACUAUACAGAUAUGUUAACUGCGUACGGGCGAAGGCGUAUACCUAGUCACCGGCAAUACAGCUAUGUUUUUAUGCUACGCAAUUUUAUCCAACGAAAAACCAGCUAACUCGUCUAACAAAAACAGCUAGUAAUACAUAGAACAUGUAUACGUAAACACUUUUUAGGAGAACAAA